UGGGGAAUAUUGCACAAUGGGCGGAAGCCUGAUGCAGCGACGCCGCGUGGGGGAUGAAGGCCUUCGGGUUGUAAACUCCUUUCGACAGGGACGAAGCUUUUGUGACGGUACCUGUAUAAGAAGCACCGGCUAACUACGUGCCAGCAGCCGCGGUAAUACGUAGGGUGCGAGCGUUGUCCGGAAUUACUGGGCGUAAAGAGCUCGUAGGUGGUUUGUCGCGUCGUCUGUGAAAUUCCGGGGCUUAACUCCGGGCGUGCAGGCGAUACGGGCUGACUUGAGUGCUGUAGGGGAGACUGGAAUUCCUGGUGUAGCAGUGAAAUGCGCAGAUAUCAGGAGGAACACCGAUGGCGAAGGCAGGUCUCUGGGCAGUAACUGACGCUGAGGAGCGAAAGCAUGGGUAGCGAACAGG
RNAcentral lists this ribosomal RNA (409 nucleotides) under bacterium. RNAcentral's name for it is "partial 16S ribosomal RNA". It matches the Rfam family "Bacterial small subunit ribosomal RNA", at positions 355 to 776 of the family's 1533-position model. RNAcentral also lists the same sequence under 1 other name. The record is from RNAcentral.